This 797-nucleotide ribosomal RNA is filed under the name Bacillus sp. HPCKc-50. Its description in RNAcentral is "bacterial SSU rRNA". It matches the Rfam family "Bacterial small subunit ribosomal RNA", at positions 39 to 818 of the family's 1533-position model. Lineage: Bacteria; Bacillati; Bacillota; Bacilli; Caryophanales; Bacillaceae. The record is from RNAcentral.
GGGGCGUGCCUAUACAUGCAAGUCGAGCGGACAGAUGGGAGCUUGCUCCCUGAUGUUAGCGGCGGACGGGUGAGUAACACGUGGGUAACCUGCCUGUAAGACUGGGAUAACUCCGGGAAACCGGGGCUAAUACCGGAUGCUUGUUUGAACCGCAUGGUUCAAACAUAAAAGGUGGCUUCGGCUACCACUUACAGAUGGACCCGCGGCGCAUUAGCUAGUUGGUGAGGUAACGGCUCACCAAGGCAACGAUGCGUAGCCGACCUGAGAGGGUGAUCGGCCACACUGGGACUGAGACACGGCCCAGACUCCUACGGGAGGCAGCAGUAGGGAAUCUUCCGNAAUGGACGAAAGUCUGACGGAGCAACGCCGCGUGAGUGAUGAAGGUUUUCGGAUCGUAAAGCUCUGUUGUUAGGGAAGAACAAGUACCGUUCGAAUAGGGCGGUACCUUGACGGUACCUAACCAGAAAGCCACGGCUAACUACGUGCCAGCAGCCGCGGUAAUACGUAGGUGGCAAGCGUUGUCCGGAAUUAUUGGGCGUAAAGGGCUCGCAGGCGGUUUCUUAAGUCUGAUGUGAAAGCCCCCGGCUCAACCGGGGAGGGUCAUUGGAAACUGGGGAACUUGAGUGCAGAAGAGGAGAGUGGAAUUCCACGUGUAGCGGUGAAAUGCGUAGAGAUGUGGAGGAACACCAGUGGCGAAGGCGACUCUCUGGUCUGUAACUGACGCUGAGGAGCGAAAGCGUGGGGAGCGAANAGGAUUAGAUACCCUGGUAGUCCACGCCGUAAACCACGAGUUGCUA